Molecule: unclassified non-coding RNA, 932 nt
Filed under: Aspergillus amoenus
Lineage: Eukaryota; Fungi; Ascomycota; Eurotiomycetes; Eurotiales; Aspergillaceae
Description: sequence contains ITS1, 5.8S rRNA gene, ITS2
Rfam family: Eukaryotic large subunit ribosomal RNA (bases 525-932)
Source: RNAcentral
GUCGUAACAAGGUUUCCGUAGGUGAACCUGCGGAAGGAUCAUUACUGAGUGCGGGCUGCCUCCGGGCGCCCAACCUCCCACCCGUGACUACCUAACACUGUUGCUUCGGCGGGGAGCCCUCUCGGGGGCGAGCCGCCGGGGACUACUGAACUUCAUGCCUGAGAGUGAUGCAGUCUGAGUCUGAAUAUAAAAUCAGUCAAAACUUUCAACAAUGGAUCUCUUGGUUCCGGCAUCGAUGAAGAACGCAGCGAACUGCGAUAAGUAAUGUGAAUUGCAGAAUUCAGUGAAUCAUCGAGUCUUUGAACGCACAUUGCGCCCCCUGGCAUUCCGGGGGGCAUGCCUGUCCGAGCGUCAUUGCUGCCCAUCAAGCCCGGCUUGUGUGUUGGGUCGUCGUCCCCCCCGGGGGACGGGCCCGAAAGGCAGCGGCGGCACCGUGUCCGGUCCUCGAGCGUAUGGGGCUUUGUCACCCGCUCGAUUUAGGGCCGGCCGGGCGCCAGCCGACGUCCAACCAUUUUUCUUCAGGUUGACCUCGGAUCAGGUAGGGAUACCCGCUGAACUUAAGCAUAUCAAUAAGCGGAGGAAAAGAAACCAACCGGGAUUGCCCCAGUAACGGCGAGUGAAGCGGCAAGAGCUCAAAUUUGAAAUCUGGCCCCUCCGGGGUCCGAGUUGUAAUUUGCAGAGGAUGCUUCGGGUGCGGCCCCUGUCUAAGUGCCCUGGAACGGGCCGUCAGAGAGGGUGAGAAUCCCGUCUUGGGCAGGGUGCCCGUGCCCGUGUGAAGCUCCUUCGACGAGUCGAGUUGUUUGGGAAUGCAGCUCUAAAUGGGUGGUAAAUUUCAUCUAAAGCUAAAUACCGGCCGGAGACCGAUAGCGCACAAGUAGAGUGAUCGAAAGAUGAAAAGCACUUUGAAAAGAGAGUUAAACAGCACGUGAAAU